CAGGAUGAACGCUAGCGGCAGGCUUAACACAUGCAAGUCGAGGGGCAGCGAGAUCAGUGCUUGCACUGAUUGUCGGCGACCGGCGCACGGGUGCGUAACGCGUAUGCAACCUACCAUUACAGGGGGAUAACACUGAGAAAUCGGUACUAAUACCCCAUAACAUCCAGGGAGGCAUCUUCUUGGGUUGAAAACUCCGGUGGUAAUGGAUGGGCAUGCGUUGUAUUAGUUAGUUGGUGGGGUAACGGAUCACCAAGACAACGAUACAUAGGGGGACUGAGAGGUUAACCCCCCACAUUGGUACUGAGACACGGACCAAACUCCUACGGGAGGCAGCAGUGAGGAAUAUUGGUCAAUGGACGCAAGUCCGAACCAGCCAUGCCGCGUGCAGGAAGACGGCUCUAUGAGUUGUAAACUGCUUUUGUACGAGGGUAAACGCAGAUAAGCGUAUCUGUCUGAAAGUAUCGUACGAAUAAGGAUCGGCUAACUCCGUGCCAGCAGCCGCGGUAAUACGGAGGAUUCAAGCGUUAUCCGGAUUUAUUGGGUUUAAAGGGUGCGUAGGCGGUCGGAUAAGUUAGAGGUGAAAUCCCGGGGCUCAACUUCGGAAUUGCCUCUGAUACUGUUCGGCUAGAGAGUAGUUGCGGUAGGCGGAAUGUAUGGUGUAGCGGUGAAAUGCUUAGAGAUCAUACAGAACACCGAUUGCGAAGGCAGCUUACCAAGCUACUUCUGACGUUGAGGCACGAAAGCGUGGGGAGCAAACAGGAUUAGAUACCCUGGUAGUCCACGCAGUAAACGAUGAUAACUUCGUUGUCGGCGAAUACAGUGUCGGUGACUAAGCGAAAGCGAUAAGUUAUCCACCUGGGGAGUACGUUCGCAAGAAUGAAACUCAAAGGAAUUGACGGGGGCCCGCACAAGCGGAGGAACAUGUGGUUUAAUUCGAUGAUACGCGAGGAACCUUACCCGGGCUUGAAAGUUAGUGACGGAUCUUGAAAGAGGUCUUCCCUUCGGGGCACGAAACUAGGUGCUGCAUGGUUGUCGUCAGCUCGUGCCGUGAGGUGUCGGGUUAAGUCCCAUAACGAGCGCAACCCCUACCGUUAGUUGCCAGCAGGUCAAGCUGGGCACUCUGACGGGACUGCCGGUGUAAGCCGAGAGGAAGGUGGGGAUGACGUCAAAUCAGCACGGCCCUUACGUCCGGGGCUACACACGUGUUACAAUGGCAGGUACAGAGGGCAGCUACCCAGCGAUGGGAUGCGAAUCUCGAAAGCCUGUCUCAGUUCGGAUUGGAGGCUGAAACCAGCAUCCAUGAAGUUGGAUUCGCUAGUAAUCGCGCAUCAGCCAUGGCGCGGUGAAUAAGUUCCCGGGCCU
This 1362-nucleotide ribosomal RNA is filed under the name uncultured bacterium. RNAcentral describes it as "16S ribosomal RNA". It matches the Rfam family "Bacterial small subunit ribosomal RNA", at positions 25 to 1381 of the family's 1533-position model. The record is from RNAcentral.